GUCCAGACUCCUACGGGAGGCAGCAGUGGGGAAUAUUGCACAAUGGGGGAAACCCUGAUGCAGCGACGCCGCGUGAGCGAUGAAGUAUUUCGGUAUGUAAAGCUCUAUCAGCAGGGAAGAAGAUGACGGUACCUGACUAAGAAGCCCCGGCUAACUACGUGCCAGCAGCCGCGGUAAUACGUAGGGGGCAAGCGUUAUCCGGAUUUACUGGGUGUAAAGGGAGCGUAGACGGCGAUGCAAGCCAGAUGUGAAAGCCCGGGGCUCAACCCCGGGACUGCAUUUGGAACUGUGUGGCUGGAGUGUCGGAGAGGCAGGCGGAAUUCCUAGUGUAGCGGUGAAAUGCGUAGAUAUUAGGAGGAACACCAGUGGCGAAGGCGGCCUGCUGGACGAUGACUGACGUUGAGGCUCGAAAGCGUGGGGAGCAAACAGGAUUAGAUACCCUUGUA
Molecule: ribosomal RNA, 446 nt
Filed under: uncultured bacterium
Lineage: Bacteria
Description: partial 16S ribosomal RNA
Rfam family: Bacterial small subunit ribosomal RNA
Source: RNAcentral